UCGUCAGCAGGGUAACUUAGGAUGUGUUUGGUUCCACCUUGCGAAACUUUAGCAACUAAAGUUUAGUCCCAUUUAGUUCCAAAUUUGCCAAACAUCCUUGCUAAACCUUGCUAAACUUUGGUUGCUAAACUUUAGCCCAUAAGUAACCUUUUGCUUGCUAAACCUUACUAAAAGAUGGGGUGGACACCCUUUGCCCCCAUUAAUACCUGUCUGGAUACCCC
This 221-nucleotide long non-coding RNA is filed under the name Setaria viridis. RNAcentral's name for it is "long non-coding RNA (SVIR_LNC008948)". The record is from RNAcentral. Lineage: Eukaryota; Viridiplantae; Streptophyta; Magnoliopsida; Poales; Poaceae.